AUGCUCGCUUCAGCAGCACGUAUACUAAAAUUAGAGGGAUGUAAAAAAGACCUUGCAUGGUCCUUGUGCAAGGAUGACAUGCGAAUUUGUAAAGAGUUCCAUAUUUAA
This 108-nucleotide small nuclear RNA is filed under the name Sus scrofa (pig). Lineage: Eukaryota; Metazoa; Chordata; Mammalia; Artiodactyla; Suidae. The record is from RNAcentral.